This 253-nucleotide ribosomal RNA is filed under the name uncultured bacterium. RNAcentral describes it as "partial 16S ribosomal RNA". It matches the Rfam family "Bacterial small subunit ribosomal RNA", at positions 524 to 776 of the family's 1533-position model. The record is from RNAcentral.
UACGUAGGGUGCAAGCGUUAAUCGGAAUUACUGGGCGUAAAGUGUGCGCAGGCGGCCGAGCAAGUCGGGUGUGAAAGCCCCGGGCUUAACUUGGGAAUUGCGCUCGAAACUACUUGGCUGGAGUGUGGCAGAGGAAGGUGGAAUUCCAGGUGUAGCGGUGAAAUGCGUAGAGAUCUGGAGGAACACCGAUGGCGAAGGCAGCCUUCUGGGCCAACACUGACGCUCAUGCACGAAAGCGUGGGGAGCAAACAGG